RNAcentral lists this unclassified non-coding RNA (360 nucleotides) under Hevea brasiliensis (rubber tree). The record is from RNAcentral. Lineage: Eukaryota; Viridiplantae; Streptophyta; Magnoliopsida; Malpighiales; Euphorbiaceae.
AGAAAGGCCACCGACGUCAAGCUCCCAGGUUCUUCCAUCCCCAACCCAUCCAUCUCCUUGUUUGGUUGGAUAUCCAUAGUCUGCCCAUAUUGGAUGAGGCAGCAACUGAAGUAGCUCCUGUGCCUGGGGAUUACUGUAAGGAUCACAAGUGCUAUAUGGCUUUUCCAAGUGCUCGGCAUUCCCAGGCGCACAGUAAUAGUGAUAAGCUGAGUAAGGGAAGUGAGAGGUGUUAUUCCUGUAGAUUUUUGUAUUGUUUGGUGUGAUGUGGAAAGGUGGGCAGUUGCCGAUAUUUGUGGGGCUGCACCAAGCUGCAGUUUCUGGAUUAAUGAUCAUUUCACUGUAUCUGGUAACAUCAGUGAG